RNAcentral lists this ribosomal RNA (154 nucleotides) under Thermoanaerobacterium sp. enrichment culture clone gang 8. Its description in RNAcentral is "partial 16S ribosomal RNA". It matches the Rfam family "Bacterial small subunit ribosomal RNA", at positions 338 to 508 of the family's 1533-position model. The record is from RNAcentral. Lineage: Bacteria; Bacillati; Bacillota; Clostridia; Thermoanaerobacterales; Thermoanaerobacteraceae.
CCUACGGGAGGCAGCAGUGGGGAAUAUUGUGCAAUGGGGGAAACCCUGACACAGCGACGCCGCGUGAGUGAAGAAGGCCUUCGGGUCGUAAAGCUCAAUAGUAUGGGAAGAAAGAAAUGACGGUACCAUACGAAAGCCCCGGCUAACUACGUGC